AGCAGCCGCGGUAAUUCCAGCUCCAAUAGCGUAUAUUAAAGUUGUUGCAGUUAAAAAGCUCGUAGUUGAACCUUAGGCCCGUGCGGGUGGUCCGUCCUCAGGGCGAGUACUGUCUCGUUGCGGGUCUCACCUUCUGGCGAGCGUGGAUGCCAUUUAUUUGGUGUCUGCGGGAACCAGGACCUUUACCUUGAAAAAUUAGAGUGCUCAAAGCGGGCUCUUGCGCUUGAAUACAUUAGCAUGGAAUAAUGAAAUAGGACGAUGGUUCUAUUUUGUUGGUUUCUGGGACCGUCGUAAUGAUUAAUAGGGAUAGUUGGGGGCAUUCGUAUUCAAUUGUCAGAGGUGAAAUUCUUGGAUUUAUUGAAGACGGACUACUGCGAAAGCAUUUGCCAAGGAUGUUUUCAUU
This 403-nucleotide ribosomal RNA is filed under the name uncultured Glomeromycotina. Its description in RNAcentral is "bacterial SSU rRNA". It matches the Rfam family "Eukaryotic small subunit ribosomal RNA", at positions 569 to 974 of the family's 1831-position model. The record is from RNAcentral. Lineage: Eukaryota; Fungi; Glomeromycota.